UUCACGUCACGCCGACUGGAGCUUCUUCCAAAUGUUUUACCGCAAACACAUCCAAAUGUCGAAGAUGUGUAGGUGAUUUUGAGUGGGAGAGGUUUGAGUGUCACACAAACAAGCGUCAAGCAGUGAGCUGCUCUUAAGAUGCUGCUCUGGAAGCCGUGGAGGAACAGAGGAACAGAGCCCGCGUUCAAAACACAGCCUUCGAAGCCUGUCAGUUCUCAUGUAGUCGGAGAAGCAAAGAAAUGAUUCGGACUUUGUUGGACACAGAAAGGACAAGUGGCGUAUUUCUAACUGGGAUGGGGAUUUUCCCGCACAGCGCGCGUUUGCCUCACCUCACCGGCAUUUCACGGAUAUAGCCUACUAAAAGGAGGGAAAUAAGGCAUAUUUCCCCGGAAAGACAAGCAACCAGAGAAAAAGAAAUCAUCAACACAGGCUUUUUCCAAGACAUGAGAUGCUGCAUAGAAGCUACCACUAGUCACUCCAGAUCGAUAAAGUUUCCUGGCUUUGGAGAAA
Molecule: long non-coding RNA, 510 nt
Organism: Ictalurus punctatus (channel catfish)
Lineage: Eukaryota; Metazoa; Chordata; Actinopteri; Siluriformes; Ictaluridae
Exons: 3
Source: RefSeq, a predicted model, not a curated record